CCCAUCCCGAACACGGUAGUUAAGCUUCUCUGCGCCAAUGGUAGUUGGGGGCUUCCCCCUGCGAGAGUAGGUCGCUGCCGGGC
This 83-nucleotide ribosomal RNA is filed under the name Listeria monocytogenes. The record is from RNAcentral. Lineage: Bacteria; Bacillati; Bacillota; Bacilli; Caryophanales; Listeriaceae.